UUUAGAAACAGUAUAUUUUAAGCACAUUUUGAAAGUAUAUGGGGUGUACAAAUGUAUAUUAUUUUAUGGAGAAAUAACGUGGGCUUAAAAUUACGAGAGAGCAGUAUGUUCUGUUACAUUUUAUAUUGUAGAUGUAUACAUUUGUAAUAUACUAUUAACAUAAUAAGGUACACUUUAACUUCACUAUAGUCAAGCAUUGGAUAAACCAAUGAACUGUGUUUUACCACAAAAUAACCAUGGUUUUGCUAAUAAUAAUCAAUACACCAAAAAAAAAAAACAUGGUUACUAAACUUUUACCACAAAAAAAAACAUUAAUUUUCGUAAGGGGAAUAUGAGUGUUUGUUUUUUUUGUAGUUUUUGAGUCAAUUGCAUACCGCUUUUAGCUGUACACAUUAAUUAACUUAAACAGUUUUCGUAAAUGCAUUUCAGAGAAAAGUGAAUUCUGAGAUUUGAAUAAUGCAUCUGACGUGUGGGAUGACGUCACGACGCACGUAUUUUGAUUUUUACCAGUCGUUCAAGACAGACGGAUUCAGUCCCAAGAAGCUAAAGUUUUUCAAAGACAUUUGUAGGGAGGACUUUGCAGCUAAUGAUUUCCUAAGGCUGAACCAAAACCUGCCAGACUAAAGUUGAUUUGGGAGAGAAAGACGUUGUAAACUUAAUCAUCUUGACAUUCUUCAAUGAGUAAUUGUUCAAUUUUUAGGCAAAUACUGUACACUUUGAAUGCUGUGAAUAAAACUAUAUUUUAAAUAUAUUUAAAAUGAA
This is a non-coding RNA of Misgurnus anguillicaudatus (oriental weatherfish), 762 nucleotides long. NCBI's taxonomy places the organism in Eukaryota, Metazoa, Chordata, Actinopteri, Cypriniformes, Cobitidae. The record is from RefSeq and is a predicted model, not a curated record.